ACGCUCUAGCAAAAGGUCACCCACCCGUGAAGGGGUCCUUAUCAUGCAAAUGGUGUGAACGCACGAAAGGCUCCUUAAAGCAACAGUAGAAGUCUGACACGUCAUUGCGAGUUGGGAGUGAAUGCGGUCUCAAUCGCUCGAGCCUAGCAGUGAAUCGGUUUGAAGAGAUAUUGGCGCCUUUACCAUCGGCGAACGGUGCAUCCCUCCCACAAGCAACUUUUCGGAGCUGGAGAGUUGAAGUCCGGAAUCGUGAGGUUCUCGCUGAAAACGGUAUAACUUCACCAGAAGGCAGCAUGAAGCUUGUGAUUGCUUACUGUAUGUUGGUCGUCUUGGCUAUGACUUUGCCACAAACACAGUGUGACAAGUGUUCCUUCGCCCGCAGAGACCGUUACACUGUACGCUGUGGAUUUUGGAGUUCGAAUAGAUGCACCAAAUACAGGUACACACUUGAUUAUCAAUGCUGCCCGGGAUGGACUGGAGCAGUGAGCGCUGGCUGCCCCAUCAGAGUUACAGAGCCAUCGGACCUUAGACCUGAGUGGCCAGACGCUAUGCCUUAAUUCAGAGGACCAGACGCAGGCUUACCUCAACCUUUUUGAGGUCACGGUUGAGUCUCUGACUGCUCACCAUCAUAAACGACGUUGCUACACUGAAAAUGUGUUGUUAGUUAAUCCAUAGCUAUCAAUAUUUUCACUGGAAAAUGUACACGGGGAGAAGAUGGUUUUUAAAUCUUGUUGGGUUGAACUAGUCUCUUUAUCAGUAGGUGAGGAAUAAGCUUUCAGGAAAUAUACCUCACAAACCCCAAAGCAUGGCUGUAGGAAACCAGACUUGAAAAAAAGGGUUGGCAUCCCAGAAGAGUUCUUUGUUUCUGCUCGUUUCUCAAACUACCGUUUUUCUUUAUAAAUAUUUGUUUGAUGAUCUCACGAAGUGAAAAAAACCUGAGAAAUCGAUAUUUUUUUCGAUCUGGGGUUUUUGCAGCCAUUUAGGUACAUUUGAUUCAACGAACAAGUUGGCACAGUAUUACAACUAAAUGUUGUGUACUUUUUAAUUGUCGUAAACAAACAUUCGACAAAAAGCUUGGUCUCCAGGUUUUUUGGUCUCACGAAGUUAAAAACCUGCUCGGUACCGGGGCAAAAAAAACAUAGCUCUGGUCGAAUGAAGAUGCCGUGUGCAUGCGUGCGUACGGCAUUUAACACGAACAGCCGGGUGCGUGUUUAAGGGUGCACUGAACUAAUUGGAGCCCCAUUGAAGACAAUGUGAAAUCGACCACGUUUGCAGCCCCGGUGCGGGCAACCGAAAACCGAAAAACUCAAAGCGACAAGUCACCAUGCUUUACAAUGAAAGGGAAUAUCCGUUUUUUUAUUUCAUAUAUUUCAUUUUUUCAUUGUAGCUCGUCAUAGACAUGUACUAAUUACACAAGAACUAGUGUUUCAGACUGAUCAGUGGUUUCAAAAGCCUUGAAUUUGUAGGGUGAGCAGUAUCAGAAUUUUUUGUGCGUGCUUUUAGCUCAACAUACGAAUGUAAUCGGAAAAUCUAUAACUUGCAAAUACAGAAAACACCGAUUUGUAAUCAUCGGUGAAUUAUACGAAAUUAAUAAGGAACAAAAACAGUUUAUACUGUCUUUUCAAUAUCCAGUGAGGGUAUAACAGUUUGUUUUUGUAGUCGGCACUCAUGAAUGUGCAAGAUAUUAUUGUGUCACGACACCUGCUUGUAUAUUGCGCUUAAGUAUCAUGUUAAAGUGGUUGUAUACAUCUUCGUUUUGCUUCGUCGCAAACGCCGAUUUAGCCGCCUCCUAUUUUACCAGUUAUGAAGCAACACUUGUUGCCAACCAAGAUGGAACGUUUACAACCUUUGGCCGCCACUGCAAAAGGGCGCUCCAUGUUUGUAAACAAAAGAAAAUAUUUGUAUGCAACAGUGGGGUUGGGAGAGGAUUGGAUGUGGAGAAUUUGUGACGUCAAAGAACGUUAUGUCAAGUUAUAAAAGUAUCCUUUUGAAUGGAAAGACACCUGGAAAGGGCAGAAUAAAGACUACAAGUCUUGAACAAAACAUA
This 2047-nucleotide long non-coding RNA is filed under the name Acanthaster planci (crown-of-thorns starfish). RNAcentral describes it as "uncharacterized LOC110977920, transcript variant X1". The record is from RNAcentral. Lineage: Eukaryota; Metazoa; Echinodermata; Asteroidea; Valvatida; Acanthasteridae.